Molecule: non-coding RNA, 73 nt
Organism: Stegodyphus mimosarum
Lineage: Eukaryota; Metazoa; Arthropoda; Arachnida; Araneae; Eresidae
Source: Rfam
GCCUUCGUGGUUUAGAGGUCAGAACGCUCGGCGCGUAUUUGAGAGGUCCGUGGUUCGAGUCCCUGCCAGGGCA